CCUACGGGUAGCAGCAGUGGGGAAUAUUGCACACUGGGGGAAACCCUGAUGCAGCAACUCCGCGUGAGUGAGGAAGUAUUUCGGUAUGUAACGCUCUAUCAGCAGGGAAUAGAAAAGAAGGUACCUGAAAAAGACGCCCCUGCUAACUACGUGCCAGCCGCCGCGGUACUACGGAGGUGGCAAGCGUUAUCCGGAUUUACUGGGUGUAAAGGGAGCGUAGACGGAAAGGCAAGUCAGAAGUGAAAGCCCAAGGCUCAACCAUGGGACUGCUUUUGAAACUGUCAAACUAGAGUACGAGAGAGGUAAGAGGAAUGCCUAGUGUAGCGGUGAAAUGCGUAGAUAUUAGGAGGAACACCAGUGGCGAAGGCGUCUUACUGGACCGAAACUGACGUUGAGGCUCGAAAGCGUGGGGAGCAAACAGGAGUAGAUACCCCUGUAGUC
RNAcentral lists this ribosomal RNA (441 nucleotides) under uncultured bacterium. RNAcentral describes it as "partial 16S ribosomal RNA". It matches the Rfam family "Bacterial small subunit ribosomal RNA", at positions 338 to 795 of the family's 1533-position model. The record is from RNAcentral.